UGAGGAAUAUUGGUCAAUGGGCGCAAGCCUGAACCAGCCAAGCCGCGUGCAGGAAGACUGCCCUAUGGGUUGUAAACUGCUUUUAUACGGGAAUAAGAAUUUAUACGAGUUAUAGGUUUUGCAUGUACUGUAUGAAUAAGCAUCGGCUAACUCCGUGCCAGCAGCCGCGGUAAUACGGAGGAUGCAGGCGUUAUCCGGAUUUAUUAGGUUUAAAGGGUGCGUAGGCGGCAAUAUAAGUCGGAGGUGAAAUCUUACAGCUUAACUAUAAGUUUGCCUUCGAUACUGUAGUGCUAGAGUACGAACGAGGUAGGCGGAAUGUGCAGUGUAGCGGUGAAAUGCAUAGAUAUUGCACAGAACAUCGAUUGCGAAGGCAGCUUACUAGGCCGUAACUGACGCUGAUGCACGAAAGCGUGGGGAUCAAACAGG
This 426-nucleotide ribosomal RNA is filed under the name uncultured bacterium. RNAcentral's name for it is "bacterial SSU rRNA". It matches the Rfam family "Bacterial small subunit ribosomal RNA", at positions 355 to 776 of the family's 1533-position model. The record is from RNAcentral.